UGUCCAGCUGCUUUUAGACUACAGUUCCCAUCAUCCCUGACCACAAUGGUCUUGAUACCUAGGAAUGAUGGGAGUUGUAGUCCAAAAACAGCUGGAGA
This is a non-coding RNA of Podarcis lilfordi (Lilford's wall lizard), 98 nucleotides long. The record is from the annotation of a GenBank genome assembly. Lineage: Eukaryota; Metazoa; Chordata; Lepidosauria; Squamata; Lacertidae.